CCCUACCCCUCUCUAUUCUCUCUCACUCUCACAUUCACCAGAAUCCCUAAUUUAAUCCAACUAACCCUAUCAGAGCCCUCAGCCGCCGCUAUCGUCAGUCCCCAGCCACCGAGGUGUCGCUUUUAUCGUCCGCCCCCUCCGCCAAGGUCAUUGAUCGUAGCGAUUCUUCCAAUUCAUCGCCGAACCUAUUUGCUGACGCUGAAAAUCAGACUAUGGACACGUUGAAGAGUGAAGAAGUAUCGGCAGCUGUUUUGUCUUCCACCAGAUGAAUAUUUUCUGGCUGAAAUUGAGGGACCUGAGCAAAACUCUGAUAAGAAGGCUGACAAAGGACUGCUGAUGCUGUUGGAAUCUAACCUUCCUUCACUCGAAAUGGAUUUUCUGGAGCUACAGAACUCCAAAUGGCGCGCUCCCAACGGAGUUGGAAAGUAGACAUCCAGAGCUUUCCAGCAAUAUAUAAUAGUCCAUACUUUAUUCGAGAUUUGACGAUGUAAAUUAGCGCUCAACGCCAGUUCCAUGCUGCAUUCUGGAGUCAAACACCAGAAACACGUCACGAACCAAAGUUGAAUGCCAGAAACACGUUACAACUUGGCGUUCAACUCCAAUAAAAGCCUCUGCACGUGUAACAUUCAAGCUCAGCCCAAGCACACACCAAGUGAGCCCCGGAAGUGGAUUUCUGCAUCAAUUACUUACUUCUGUAAACUCUAAGUAGCUAGUUUAUUAUAAAUAGGACAAUUUACUAUUGUAUUUUCCUCCUAGAUUGUAUUUUUGAUCCUGUGAUCACGUUUUGGGUGCUGGUCUCUCGGCUAUGCCUGGACUUUCAUCACUUAUGUAUUUUCAACGGUGGAGUUUCUACACACCAUAGAUUAAGGGUGUGGAGCUUUGCUCUACCUCAAGUUUCAAUGCAAUUACUACUAUUUUCUAUUCAA
Long non-coding RNA from Arachis duranensis, 926 nucleotides. RefSeq lists it as uncharacterized. Lineage: Eukaryota; Viridiplantae; Streptophyta; Magnoliopsida; Fabales; Fabaceae. The transcript has 3 exons. The record is from RefSeq and is a predicted model, not a curated record.